RNAcentral lists this ribosomal RNA (502 nucleotides) under uncultured bacterium. Its description in RNAcentral is "partial 16S ribosomal RNA". It matches the Rfam family "Bacterial small subunit ribosomal RNA", at positions 28 to 507 of the family's 1533-position model. The record is from RNAcentral.
GACGAACGCUGGCGGCGUGCUUAACACAUGCAAGUCGAACGGUGAAGGGGCCUGCUUUUGUGGGCCCUGGAUGAGUGGCGAACGGGUGAGUAACACGUGAGUAACCUGCCCCCUUCUUCUGGAUAACCGCAUGAAAGUGUGGCUAAUACGGGAUAUUCUGGGUCUGUCGCAUGAUGGGUCUGGGAAAGAUUGCGCCUUUGGGUGUUUUUGGUGGGGGAUGGGCUCGCGGCCUAUCAGCUUGUUGGUGGGGUGAUGGCCUACCAAGGCGGUGACGGGUAGCCGGCCUGAGAGGGUGGACGGUCACACUGGGACUGAGACACGGCCCAGACUCCUACGGGAGGCAGCAGUGGGGAAUAUUGCACAAUGGGCGCAAGCCUGAUGCAGCGACGCCGCGUGAGGGAGGGAGGCCUUCGGGUUGUAAACCUCUUUCGCCAGUGAAGCAGGCCUGCUCCGUGUGGGUGGGUUGACGGUAGCUGGAUAAGAAGCGCCGGCUAACUACGUG